GGGCCUGUAGCUCAGCCUGGUUAGAGCGUUCGACUGAUAAUCGAAAGGUCCUGGGUUCAAAUCCCAGCAGGCCCA
Molecule: transfer RNA, 75 nt
Filed under: Microcaldota archaeon
Lineage: Archaea; Nanobdellati; Microcaldota
Description: Candidatus Micrarchaeota archaeon (hot springs metagenome) tRNA-Ile
Rfam family: tRNA
About the family: Transfer RNA (tRNA) molecules are approximately 80 nucleotides in length. Their secondary structure includes four short double-helical elements and three loops (D, anti-codon, and T loops).
Source: RNAcentral